GCCGGGUUGGCCGAGUGGUCAAGGCGGCGGGCUGCAGACCCGCUAUUACGGGGGUUCGAAUCCCCCACCCGGCU
RNAcentral lists this transfer RNA (74 nucleotides) under Candidatus Methanodesulfokora washburnensis. RNAcentral describes it as "tRNA-Cys". It matches the Rfam family "tRNA". From Rfam's summary of the family: Transfer RNA (tRNA) molecules are approximately 80 nucleotides in length. Their secondary structure includes four short double-helical elements and three loops (D, anti-codon, and T loops). Lineage: Archaea; Thermoproteati; Thermoproteota; Candidatus Korarchaeia. The record is from RNAcentral.